RNAcentral lists this ribosomal RNA (464 nucleotides) under Vreelandella stevensii. RNAcentral describes it as "partial 16S ribosomal RNA". It matches the Rfam family "Bacterial small subunit ribosomal RNA", at positions 338 to 794 of the family's 1533-position model. Lineage: Bacteria; Pseudomonadati; Pseudomonadota; Gammaproteobacteria; Oceanospirillales; Halomonadaceae. The record is from RNAcentral.
CCUACGGGCGGCAGCAGUGGGGAAUAUUGGACAAUGGGGGGAACCCUGAUCCAGCCAUGCCGCGUGUGUGAAGAAGGCCCUCGGGUUGUAAAGCACUUUCAGUGAGGAAGAACGCCUGGUGGUUAAUACCCAUCAGGAAAGACAUCACUCACAGAAGAAGCACCGGCUAACUCCGUGCCAGCAGCCGCGGUAAUACGGAGGGUGCGAGCGUUAAUCGGAAUUACUGGGCGUAAAGCGCGCGUAGGUGGCUUGAUAAGCCGGUUGUGAAAGCCCCGGGCUCAACCUGGGAACGGCAUCCGGAACUGUCAAGCUAGAGUGCAGGAGAGGAAGGUAGAAUUCCCGGUGUAGCGGUGAAAUGCGUAGAGAUCGGGAGGAAUACCAGUGGCGAAGGCGGCCUUCUGGACUGACACUGACACUGAGGUGCGAAAGCGUGGGUAGCAAACAGGAUUAGAUACCCGAGUAUC